UUUUUUUAUAUAUAAAUUGAUUCGUGACUCUGUAAUAAUUUUGAUUUUUUUUAUCAACACGGUGCGGGAGUUUCUCUCUACAUUGAAGACCCAUUGGUGGCCUUCGGCUGUUGUCUGCUCUAUGGUCGGGUUGUUGUCGCUUUGACACAUUCCCCAUUUCCUUUCUCAAUUUUACAUAUACAACUUUUUUUAAUUCAUAAAUACCCUUGCUUAAAAUAAAAAAAAACAUAUAUGAAUAUUUGCCUAUUAACACAUGAAACAUUAUAAAUAUCUAUAUAGAUUCAGUAAACUUUGAAAUAUUCUUUCAGAUACCCAGUAAGCUUUUAAAAGAUAUAGAUCCAUAAACAAUAAAAUUGAAAUUUUAAAAUUGUGCUCUAUCAAAAUUGACAUUUUCAACAUUGAGGUCUCUCAGUUACUGUAGUAACUGCCGAAAUAUCACCAAAAGUCAAAUAUAUGCAUAAUAAAAAACUAAAAAGGUAUUGAAAUGUUCUGCUGGUCACUUCGAGUCUUCCAAACUGGUUACAGUUUCA
This 530-nucleotide long non-coding RNA is filed under the name Mytilus galloprovincialis (Mediterranean mussel). Lineage: Eukaryota; Metazoa; Mollusca; Bivalvia; Mytilida; Mytilidae. The record is from RNAcentral.